This 331-nucleotide ribosomal RNA is filed under the name uncultured Pseudomonadota bacterium. RNAcentral describes it as "bacterial SSU rRNA". It matches the Rfam family "Bacterial small subunit ribosomal RNA", at positions 568 to 898 of the family's 1533-position model. The record is from RNAcentral. Lineage: Bacteria; Pseudomonadati; Pseudomonadota.
CGUGUAGGCGGCCUAUUAUGUCAGGUGUGAAAGCCCUCGGCCUAACCGAGGAAGUGCGCCUGAAACUGCUAGGCUUGAGUACGAGAGAGGAGGACGGAAUUCCCAGUGUAGAGGUGAAAUUCGUAGAUAUUGGGAGGAACACCGGUGGCGAAAGCGGUUCUCUGGAUCGAUACUGACGCUGAGACGCGAAAGCGUGGGGAGCAAACAGGAUUAGAUACCCUGGUAGUCCACGCUGUAAACGAUGGAUAUUAGUUGUUGCGAGUUUAACCCUCGCAGUGACGACGCUAACGCAUUAAAUAUCCCGCCUGGGGAUUACGGCCGCAAGGUUAAA